Long non-coding RNA from Brassica rapa (field mustard), 922 nucleotides. RefSeq lists it as uncharacterized. The record is from RefSeq and is a predicted model, not a curated record. Lineage: Eukaryota; Viridiplantae; Streptophyta; Magnoliopsida; Brassicales; Brassicaceae.
CCUCAGUAAUUAGGUCACAUGACCUGCACCUACUUGCUUGCCUGCUUGCUCAUUAGAAGUCACAUGCUGGUCACAAGCUACUUGCUUCAGCUGCUUGUAGCUUUCUUCAUGGGAAGGAAAAGUUCAGCUGCUUGUGCUGCUUGGUGUGCUGAAGCAUGUCUCCACCUGUCUAACCUCAGCUUUGCCUUGUGUGGGAGUAAACCCUCAUCUGAAUUAACUCCUUAUCCUUUAAAACACCUUCUUCACCCUUCUGGACGUUCAUAACCUGCAGCAUAACAAGAGAAAUUUUCAGAGAGAAAACAAUGAGAAAGAAGAGAAAAAGUGAGAGAAAAAUCAGAACAAAAAAAAUAUGGGAAAAUUAGCCACGACCUUAGAUGACUUUGUUCCAUCCUCUAGCUCAGUUCACUGCUGUGUAGAAGAUCAGAAGUCCAGCCAUGAGUUCAGUUUCAAGGGGAGGAUUAUCUGAGUUCAUAUGGCCAUCAGUUGCUGUUGUCAGUGGUCGAGUAAAGUUGAAGGAUAAGAAUGGUUCAUCAAGUAAAACCAUUUUCUGUCUAGUUGGUUGUGGAGUUUGGCUAGAUCGGUCCAGUCACUCCUUGUAGCCGCUCAGUCACUUGGUUUGAAUUCAGAUAUCAAGGAGAGUGGUCGGAUCAGUCAGAUAAUUUUGACUGUUUUGAAUCUCAAGUGUACCGGAAGUGGAGUGUGAUUAGCUUGAGCUCGAGUCUAGUCUUCCCUAGCCAAUCUCAUGGAAUCAAAGGUGAGUCUAGAUAGAUGAUUGAUGAGUAGUGAAUGAAUAUUUCUUGAUUGAACGUACUGAUUGUAGAUGAUUGAUAGGCUUUGUCUCUUGAUCAAUAUUGAAUUGGUAAGGUGUUUACUUAGUGUAAACACUUAUUAAAUAUUUAUGAAUGAUCAUAGAGGUUUAUUC